CCCAAACCAAUAAAGUUUUCUUUAUUGGGGUUGCGGACAUAUCAUAACGAAGAGGUAUCGUAAUUGAAGAGGUUUGGAAAGACCCACCACAGAAGGUAAUAGUCCUGUAUGUUAAACGAGAAGACUUUAGAUAUGAUCCAGAGUACCACGGGACACGUGAAACCCUGUGGGAAGCAGGAGGGACCACCCUCCAAGGCUAAAUACUACCUAGUGACCGAUAGCGUAUAGUACCGUGAGGGAAAGGUGAAAAGAACCCCGGGAGGGGAGUGAAAUAGAACCUGAAACCCUGUACUUACAAGCUGUGGAAGCACAUUUCUUGUGUGACCGCGUACUUUUUGUAGAACGGGCCAACGAGUUACGUUAAGUAGCCAGGUUAAGCACUUAAGGUGUGGAGCCGUAGCGAAAGCGAGUUUUAACUGAGCGUUCAGUUACUUGACGUAGACCCGAAACCGGGCGACCUACCCAUGAGCAGGAUGAAGCGAAAGUAAAAUUUCGUGGAGGUCCGAACCCACGAGCGUUGAAAAGCUAGGGGAUGACUUGUGGGUAGCGGUGAAAUUCCAAUCGAGCCCGGAGAUAGCUGGUUCU
RNAcentral lists this ribosomal RNA (585 nucleotides) under Clostridioides difficile. RNAcentral describes it as "bacterial LSU rRNA". It matches the Rfam family "Bacterial large subunit ribosomal RNA", at positions 268 to 856 of the family's 2925-position model. Lineage: Bacteria; Bacillati; Bacillota; Clostridia; Peptostreptococcales; Peptostreptococcaceae. The record is from RNAcentral.